This 674-nucleotide ribosomal RNA is filed under the name uncultured Inocybe. Its description in RNAcentral is "eukaryotic LSU rRNA". The stretch from base 252 to 405 matches the Rfam family "5.8S ribosomal RNA". The record is from RNAcentral. Lineage: Eukaryota; Fungi; Basidiomycota; Agaricomycetes; Agaricales; Cortinariaceae.
CCGUAGGUGAACCUGCGGAAGGAUCAUUAACGAAUAAACUUGAACAGGCUGUUGCUAGCUCUCCUGGGGGCAUGUGCACGCUUGUCAUCUUUGUUUCUCCAACUGUGCACACAUUGUAGACCUCGAGUUUGGGAUUGCCAUCGCGGCUUUCUUUGCUUUUUUGCCUUCAGGUCUAUGUCAUUUUUCACAAACCAAUGAAUCUGUUUAGAAUGUUGAAUCAGGUCAUUUUUUGUACCUAUAAAGUUAUAAACAACUUUCAGCAACGGAUCUCUUGGUUCUCGCAUCGAUGAAGAACGCAGCGAAAUGCGAUAAGUAAUGUGAAUUGCAGAAUUCAGUGAAUCAUCGAAUCUUUGAACGCAUCUUGCGCUCCUUGGUAUUCCGAGGAGCAUGCCUGUUUGAGUGUCAUUUCGACUUCUCAACCACAGCUGGAUUCAUUUUCUGGAUGCGGCUUGGAUGUGGGGGGGUUAUAUUUUGUGCAGGCCUCUGAGGUCUGCUCCCCUGAAAAGCAUUAGUGGUAUCCGAGCAGAGAAACUACUACAGGUGUGAUAAUUUAUCUAUGCCCAUGGUAUUCUGCAUGAAUGGAUUGCGCUGCUUCUAAACAAACAUUUGACAAAUUUGACCUCAAAUCAGGUAGGACUACCCGCUGAACUUAAGCAUAUCAAUAAGCGGAGGAA